AAAAAGGGCUUCUGUCGUGAGUGACACGUGGGGUGGGCUGGCCUCGGUCUGUCCUGCCCCGUGCGGAAUCGACAUCAAGAGAUUUCGGAAGCACAAUUUUUGUUCCUGGGGCUGCUGGUAAUCGCUCGUUCCGGCGCCCCC
Molecule: small nuclear RNA, 141 nt
Organism: Crocodylus porosus (Australian saltwater crocodile)
Lineage: Eukaryota; Metazoa; Chordata; Crocodylia; Crocodylidae
Source: Ensembl